Molecule: ribosomal RNA, 119 nt
Organism: Aotus nancymaae (Ma's night monkey)
Lineage: Eukaryota; Metazoa; Chordata; Mammalia; Primates; Aotidae
Source: Ensembl
GUCUACGGCCAUACCACCCUGAAGCUUCCCGAUCUCAUCUGAAACACGAAGCUAACCAGGGUCGAGCCUUGUUAGUACUUGGAUGGGAGACUGCCUGGGAAUACCGGGUGUUGUGGGCU